RNAcentral lists this microRNA (22 nucleotides) under Malus domestica (apple). RNAcentral describes it as "mdm-miR11001". The record is from miRBase by way of RNAcentral. Lineage: Eukaryota; Viridiplantae; Streptophyta; Magnoliopsida; Rosales; Rosaceae.
UACAAAGAUGGACUCCACCCUA